GAUGAACGCUGGCGGCGUGCUUAACACAUGCAAGUCGAACGAAGCACUGAAAGCAGAUUACUUCGGUUUGAAGCUUUCUUUGACUGAGUGGCGGACGGGUGAGUAACGCGUGGGUAACCUGCCUCAUACAGGGGGAUAACAGUUAGAAAUGACUGCUAAUACCGCAUAAGCGCACGGGACUGCAUGGUCUUGUGUGAAAAACUCCGGUGGUAUGAGAUGGACCCGCGUCUGAGUAGCUUGUUGGUGAGGUAACGGCCCACCAAGGCGACGAUCAGUAGCCGGCCUGAGAGGGUGAACGGCCACAUUGGGACUGAGACACGGCCCAA
This 326-nucleotide ribosomal RNA is filed under the name uncultured bacterium. RNAcentral's name for it is "bacterial SSU rRNA". It matches the Rfam family "Bacterial small subunit ribosomal RNA", at positions 28 to 334 of the family's 1533-position model. The record is from RNAcentral.